Molecule: long non-coding RNA, 201 nt
Filed under: Prunus persica (peach)
Lineage: Eukaryota; Viridiplantae; Streptophyta; Magnoliopsida; Rosales; Rosaceae
Description: long non-coding RNA (PPER_LNC001049)
Source: RNAcentral
UCUAUUCUCAUCCUCGACUAUUUUCUAGAACUUUAGCAGACUAAACACGUCUGUUUUUAUUUUUUUCCGACGUUGUUUUAUUUAACAACGUCUAAUAUUUAUCGUCGUUGUUUGUUUCUGAAAAUAGGACGUAUAAAUUUUGUAAUACGACUCUCAUAUAUUUGUAACCGACGUUGUGUAGUUUUUCAACGUCUACUCUAU